RNAcentral lists this unclassified non-coding RNA (22 nucleotides) under Chlamydomonas reinhardtii. RNAcentral describes it as "small RNA Cre_1775". Lineage: Eukaryota; Viridiplantae; Chlorophyta; Chlorophyceae; Chlamydomonadales; Chlamydomonadaceae. The record is from RNAcentral.
GCUAGCGGACGACACUUUCAGU